UGUAAUGGUUCUCGAGUUUGAAUAAAGUUUCUAAAAAAGUUUACUGCAAGUCAUCUGCAUGUACAAAGUUUUUUUUUACAAAAUUCUUGAUCCUGUGACGCUAAUUAAAUCAUACGCAAAAUAAAAAAAGAAAACUAACAAAGACACACAAAGUCAGCAUGCGUGUAGGCACAUGAAUCUGACUAGGGAGGCAAUGGCAUGCUAGAUCGACGUAUCAAACUAGUUAAAUA
RNAcentral lists this long non-coding RNA (230 nucleotides) under Brachypodium distachyon (stiff brome). RNAcentral describes it as "long non-coding RNA (BDIS_LNC000383)". The record is from RNAcentral. Lineage: Eukaryota; Viridiplantae; Streptophyta; Magnoliopsida; Poales; Poaceae.